GUAGGGGUUAACAUGCCUGCCUGUCACGCAGGAGAUCGCGGGUUCAAAUCCCGUCGGG
RNAcentral lists this transfer RNA (58 nucleotides) under Listeria monocytogenes. Its description in RNAcentral is "tRNA-Asp". It matches the Rfam family "tRNA", at positions 12 to 65 of the family's 71-position model. From Rfam's summary of the family: Transfer RNA (tRNA) molecules are approximately 80 nucleotides in length. Their secondary structure includes four short double-helical elements and three loops (D, anti-codon, and T loops). Further hydrogen bonds mediate the characteristic L-shaped molecular structure. tRNAs have two regions of fundamental functional importance: the anti-codon, which is responsible for specific mRNA codon recognition, and the 3' end, to which the tRNAs corresponding amino acid is attached (by aminoacyl-tRNA synthetases). tRNAs cope with the degeneracy of the genetic code in two manners: having more than one tRNA (with a specific anti-codon) for a particular amino acid; and 'wobble' base-pairing, i.e. permitting non-standard base-pairing at the 3rd anti-codon position. Lineage: Bacteria; Bacillati; Bacillota; Bacilli; Caryophanales; Listeriaceae. The record is from RNAcentral.